RNAcentral lists this ribosomal RNA (484 nucleotides) under uncultured bacterium. Its description in RNAcentral is "partial 16S ribosomal RNA". It matches the Rfam family "Bacterial small subunit ribosomal RNA", at positions 29 to 523 of the family's 1533-position model. The record is from RNAcentral.
AGUGAACGCUGGCGGCGUGCUUAACACAUGCAAGUCGAACGAGAACGGGUUAUAGCUUGCUAUAAUUGUCAGCUAAGUGGCGCACGGGUGAGUAAUGUAUAGGUAAUAUGCCUCUUACUAAGGGAUAACAAAUGGAAACGUUUGCUAAUACCUUAUACUCCUUAUUAACAGAAGUUAAUAAGGGAAAGAUUUAUUGGUAAGAGAUUAGCCUGUAUUGUAUCAGUUAGUUGGUGAGGUAAUGGCUUACCAAGACUAUGACACAUAACUGGUUUGAGAGGAUGAUCAGUCACACUGGAACUGAGACACGGUCCAGACUCCUACGGGAGGCAGCAGUGGGGAAUAUUGCACAAUGGACGAAAGUCUGAUGCAGCAACGCCGCGUGGAGGAUGACACAUUUCGGUGCGUAAACUCCUUUUAUAUGAGAAGAUAAUGACGGUAUUAUAUGAAUAAGCACCGGCUAACUCCGUGCCAGCAGCAGCCGCGG